Molecule: ribosomal RNA, 516 nt
Filed under: uncultured bacterium
Lineage: Bacteria
Description: partial 16S ribosomal RNA
Rfam family: Bacterial small subunit ribosomal RNA
Source: RNAcentral
GACGAACGCUGGCGGCAUGCCUAAUACAUGCAAGUCGAGCGGAGUUGAUGGAAAGCUUGCUUUCCUGAUACUUAGCGGCGGACGGGUGAGUAACACGUAGGCAACCUGCCCACAAGCUUGGGACAACUACCGGAAACGGUAGCUAAUACCGAAUACUUGUUUUCUUCGCCUGAAGAGAACUGGAAAGACGGAGCAAUCUGUCACUUGGGGAGGGGCCUGCGGCGCAUUAGCUAGUUGGUGAGGUAACGGCUCACCAAGGCGACGAUGCGUAGCCGACCGGAGAGGGUGAUCGGCCACACUGGGACUGAGACACGGCCCGGACUCCUACGGGGGGCAGCAGUAGGGAAUCUUCCGCAAUGGGCGAAAGCCUGACGGAGCAAUGCCGCGUGAGUGAUGAAGGUUUUCGGAUCGUAAAGCUCUGUUGCCAGGGAAGAACGCUUGGGAGAGUAACUGCUCCCAAGGUGACGGUACCUGAGAAGAAAGCCCCGGCUAACUACGUGCCAGCCGCCGCCGUAA